This 2909-nucleotide ribosomal RNA is filed under the name Candidatus Shapirobacteria bacterium. Its description in RNAcentral is "partial 23S ribosomal RNA". It matches the Rfam family "Bacterial large subunit ribosomal RNA", at positions 809 to 2925 of the family's 2925-position model. Lineage: Bacteria; Candidatus Shapironibacteriota. The record is from RNAcentral.
UUGAGGUUAGGGGUAAUAUGCCAAUCGAAACUGGAGAUAGCUGGUUCUCUCCGAAAUAUAUAUAGGUAUAGCGUCAAGUGUUGAGAUGCGGGGGUAAAGCUACUGGAUGAAUGUUUGUGGAGCAAUCUACGGCAUUUAACCAAACUCUGAAUACCGCAAAUUUAACUUGGCAGUCAGUCGGUCCGGGCUAAGCUGGAUCGGCAAGAGGGGAAGACCCCAGACUCUCAUCUAAGGUCUCUAAAUCUAUGUUAAGUGGAAAAGGGAGUGAUUUUUCUAAGACAGACAGGAGGUUGGCUCAGAAGCAGCCAUCCUUUAAAGAAAGCGUAAUAGCUCACUGUUCGAUCCCGACUUGUCGGGAUUGAAAGAUUGCACCAAAAAUGUAACGAGGCUAAAACAUAGUGCCGAAGAUGGAGACUCCGACUUGUCGGAGUGGUAGGAGAGCGUUCUGAUGACGGCGAAGGUUAAGGCGUAAGCUAAGCUGGAGUUGUCAGAAGUGAGAAUGCAGGCAUGAGUAACGUAAUCCCGGUGAGAACCCGGGACGUCGAAAUAUCCAAGGUUUCCUCAGCUACGUUGUUCGACUGAGGGUUAGGCGAUCCUAACACGAGGCCCUGAUUAAUGGGGGCGUAGUGGAUGGACUACCGGUUAAUAUUCCGGUCCUUACUAAUAUUCGUUUUAAUUUGGGGUAUGACGGUGUAUGGAAGGUUUUGAGUCUAAGUGAUUGGGCUUUUAAGUGUCUAGCUAGAAGGGGUUGGAAAAUCCGCCUUUUCGUUUUAAGGUGAAGCACGAAUAGAAUCCUGAGUUAUCGGGAGACAAGAUUAAAUCCAUGUACACGAGAAAAGUAUCGCAAAUAGAAUAUUGGUGAUCCGUACUAAAACCGACACUGGUGGAUAAGUCGAGAAGACUAAGACGAUUGGAAGAAAGAUGGUUAAGGAAAUCAGCAAAUUAACUGGGCGUAAGCUUUGCGAGAUGCCCUGCCCGGGAUAACACCCGGGUUACAACAAAAGAAUACACGGCGACUGUUUACCAAAAACAUAGGUCCAUGCGAACCUGUAAGGGGAUGUAUAUGGGCCGAAACCUGACCGGUGCUAGAAGGUUAAAUGAGAGAGUGAUGUCCGAUUUAUCGGACUGAGCUUUUGAUUGAAGCCCUAGUGAACGUCAGCAGUAACUCUAACUGUGAAACUUAGAGCAGUUGUAAAAUUUAGCUAUAUGCUGGGAAGACUUGUUAGAAUUUCAUAAUACCGAGGAGGUAAAAAUUUAUGAAUAAAGUUAAUCAGCAGGAAAGACAUUCAGAUAAAAGAAAGUAUCUUUAUCAUUAUUUUGCCGGAUUUGUUGAAGGUGAAGGAUGCUUUUCGGUAUCAAUUAAGCCACACAAACAAAUGAAGUUUGGGUGGGUGGUUGAUCCAAUGUUUUCCAUUUAUCAACACAAGAAAAAUAGAAAUAUUUUAGAAAUAUUUCAAAGAGAAUUGCAUUGUGGUUAUAUUGUUGAAAAACAAGGUAAACCAGGGGUGCUGGUCUUGGUGGUUGAUAACAGAAGGACGUUGGAAGAAAAGAUAAUCCCAUUUUUUGACAAAUACCAAUUUUUAGGAACUAAACGCCAGGAUUUUCUAUUAUUUUCACAAAUUGUGAGAAUGAUGAAAGAAAAAAGGCAUUUAGAAAAAUCGGGUUUGAUUGAAAUUGUCAAUUUGGCAUUUCAAAUGAACCAGCAAGGUAAGGGGAGAAAAUAUUCUGCCCCAGAGAUAAUUUCAAGUUUGAAUGAAUCCUCAGAGACUACACGCUAGAACUUAAUUUCUAAAAAUAAGUUUCUAUUUUAGAAACGCAAUUUUUUAGAUUUUAUUUAAGAUAUAGUCCAAGCUCCGAUGAGAGUCGGAGAGUCAAUAUUUAUCGCUAAGUAUUGGAGUAAUACAGAGUCUAAGGUAGCGAAGUCCUUUGUCGGGUAAGUUCCGACGCGUAUGAAAGGUUUAACGACUGUGUAACUGUCUUAAUCAUCUAUCCAGUGAAAUUGAAAGAGCGGUGAAGAUGCCGUUUAAUUACUACAGGACAAACAGACCCCAUGAAGCUUUACUGGAUCUUUACAUUGACAAGAAUUUAAUGAUUGUUCAGCGUAGGAGGGAUCCUUCGGGAAACAAUGAAACACCUCCCUUUGUUAUUUUUGAGUCUAACCUACUCCGAUGAAUCUCGGAGGGGGACCGUGUAUGGUUGCUAGUUUGCCUGGGGCAGGCACCUGCAAAAGAGUAACGCGGGUAUACAAAGGUCAACUUAGUCCGGCAGGAAAUCGGACUUUAAGUGUAAAAGCAAAAGUUGGCUUGACUGUGAGACUUACAAGUCGAAUCCCGAGCAAUCGGGAGAUCCAAACAAUUCUGAUUUUGGAUUCAGGGUCGAAAGACGGUUUUAGUGAUCCUCGUGACCUAUUUGGUAUAGGCACGGGCUUACUGGAUAAAAGCUACUCUGGGGAUAACAGGCUAGUCGCAUCCGAUAGUUCAUAUUGACGAUGCGGUUCGGCACCUCGAUGUCGACUUGGCGCAUCCUGGCCCUGAAGAAGGGGCCAAGGGUUGGUCUGUUCGCCCAUUAAAGCGCUGCGUUAGUUGGGUUCAGAGCGUCGCGAGACAGCUCGGUCUCUAUCCGUAGUAAUCGUUCGAUUCUUGAAGGGAUUCAUCUACAGUACGAGAGGACCUAGAUGAGGAAACCUCUGGUGUGCCAGUUGUGCUGUCAAGUGCAUCGCUGGGUAGCUACCGUUUCUAUAAGAUAACUGUUGAAAGCAUCUCAAACAGGAAACUGACCCUAAGAUAAGGAAUCGUUUUCCCGAGCAAUCGGGAAGGAAGAUCGCCGGGAGACUACCGGCCAAUACUUUGCAAGUGGAAGACCCGUAAGGGUUUGAGCUAAGCAAUGGAAUGAUCGAAGAAAUUUCUCAA